This 771-nucleotide ribosomal RNA is filed under the name uncultured bacterium. RNAcentral describes it as "bacterial SSU rRNA". It matches the Rfam family "Bacterial small subunit ribosomal RNA", at positions 8 to 796 of the family's 1533-position model. The record is from RNAcentral.
AGAGUUUGAUCAUGGCUCAGAACGAACGCUGGCGGCGUGCCUAACACAUGCAAGUCGAACGGAAAGGGCCUUCGGGGUACUCGAGUGGCGAACGGGUGAGUAACACGUGGGUGAUCUGCCCUGCACUUUGGGAUAAGCCUGGGAAACUGGGUCUAAUACCGAAUAUGACCAUGCACUUCCUGGUGUGUGGUGGAAAGCUUUUGCGGUGUGGGAUGGGCCCGCGGCCUAUCAGCUUGUUGGUGGGGUAAUGGCCUACCAAGGCGACGACGGGUAGCCGGCCUGAGAGGGUGACCGGCCACACUGGGACUGAGAUACGGCCCAGACUCCUACGGGAGGCAGCAGUGGGGAAUAUUGCACAAUGGGCGCAAGCCUGAUGCAGCGACGCCGCGUGAGGGAUGACGGCCUUCGGGUUGUAAACCUCUUUCAGCACAGACGAAGCGCAAGUGACGGUAUGUGCAGAAGAAGGACCGGCCAACUACGUGCCAGCAGCCGCGGUAAUACGUAGGGUCCGAGCGUUGUCCGGAAUUACUGGGCGUAAAGAGCUCGUAGGUGGUUUGUCGCGUUGUUCGUGAAAACUCACAGCUUAACUGUGGGCGUGCGGGCGAUACGGGCAGACUUAAGUACUGCAGGGGAGACUGGAAUUCCUGGUGUAGCGGUGGAAUGCGCAGAUAUCAGGAGGAACACCGGUGGCGAAGGCGGGUCUCUGGGCAGUAACUGACGCUGAGGAGCGAAAGCGUGGGGAGCGAACAGGAUUAGAUACCCUGGUAGUCC